AAUACUGUAUUACUAGAGGGCAGACGGGGAAAGCGGAAUUCCCGGUGUAGGGGUAAAAUCCGUUGAUAUCGGGAGGAACACCUGAGGCGAAAGCGGCUUUCUAGACUGCUUCUGACACUAAUACGCGAAAGCUAUGGGAGCGAAAGGGAUUAGAUACCCCUGUAGUCCUAGCCCUAAACUAUGUACGCUUGAGGUUAGCGGUAUCGACCCCGUUAGUCUCGCAGGGAAACCGGUAAGCGUACCGCCUGAGGAGUACGGCCGCAAGGUUAAAACUCAAAGGAAUAGACGGGGACCCGCACAAGCAGCGGAGCGUGUGGCUUAAUACGAUGCAACGCGUAGAACCUUACCAGGACUUGACAUCCGGCUAAAACUUUAGAGAUAAAGUGUGUUCCUUUUGGAACAAGUCGAGACAGGUGUUGCAUGGCUGUCGUCAGCUCGUGCCGUGAGGUGUAGGGUUAAGUCCCGUAACGAGCGCAACCCUCAUCGUGUGUUAAAUAUUUCACACGAGACUGCUAGGGAUAACCUGGAGGAAGGUGGGGAUGACGUCAAGUCAGUACGGCCCUUAUGUCCUGGGCUGCACACACGCUACAAUGGCUAGUACAAUGGGUUUUUGCCAAACCGAAAGGUGGAGCUAAUCCCAUCAAAGCUAGCCGCGGUUCGGAUUGAAGGCUGCAACUCGCCUUCAUGAAGCUGGAGUUGCUAGUAAACGCCGGUCAGCACACGGCGUUGAAUAUGUUCCCGGGUCUUGUACUCACCGCCCGUCACGCCAUGAGAGUUGGUAACACCAGAAGCC
This 793-nucleotide ribosomal RNA is filed under the name uncultured bacterium. RNAcentral's name for it is "bacterial SSU rRNA". It matches the Rfam family "Bacterial small subunit ribosomal RNA", at positions 629 to 1428 of the family's 1533-position model. The record is from RNAcentral.